Molecule: ribosomal RNA, 252 nt
Filed under: uncultured bacterium
Lineage: Bacteria
Description: partial 16S ribosomal RNA
Rfam family: Bacterial small subunit ribosomal RNA
Source: RNAcentral
UACGUAGGUGGCAAGCGUUGUCCGGAAUUAUUGGGCGUAAAGCGCGCGCAGGCGGGAUAUCAAGUCUAUCUUAAAAGUUCGGGGCUCAACCCCGUGAUGGGAUGGAAACUGGUAUUCUUGAGUGUCGGAGAGGAAAGUGGAAUUCCCAGUGUAGCGGUGAAAUGCGUAGAUAUUGGGAGGAACACCAGUGGCGAAGGCGACUUUCUGGACGAUGUCUGACGCUGAGGCGCGAAAGCCAGGGAAGUGAACGGG